This 445-nucleotide ribosomal RNA is filed under the name uncultured bacterium. RNAcentral's name for it is "partial 16S ribosomal RNA". It matches the Rfam family "Bacterial small subunit ribosomal RNA", at positions 354 to 796 of the family's 1533-position model. The record is from RNAcentral.
GUAGGGAAUAUUGGGCAAUGGAGGCAACUCUGACCCAGCCAUGCCGCGUGCAGGAUGACGGCCCUCUGGGUUGUAAACUGCUUUUAUACGGGAAGAAAAAAUACUACGUGUAGUAUACUGACGGUACCGUAAGAAUAAGGAUCGGCUAACUCCGUGCCAGCAGCCGCGGUAAUACGGAGGAUCCAAGCGGUGUCCGGAUUUAUUGGGUUUAAAGGGUGCGUCGGCGGAUCUUUAAGUCAGUGGUGAAAGCCUGCAGCUUAACUGUAGAAUUGCCAUUGAAACUGAAGAUCUUGAAUGUGGUUAAAGUAGGCGGAAUGUAUCAUGUAGCGGUGAAAUGCUUAGAUAUGAUACAGUACACCGAUAGCGAAGGCAGCUUGCUGAACCAUUAUUGACGCUGAGGCACGAAAGCGUGGGGAGCGAACAGGAUUAGAUACCCGUGUAGUCC